RNAcentral lists this ribosomal RNA (81 nucleotides) under Calamus ornatus. Lineage: Eukaryota; Viridiplantae; Streptophyta; Magnoliopsida; Arecales; Arecaceae. The record is from RNAcentral.
AUCGAUGGGUGACCCCUUGGGAAGUCUCGUGUUGCACCCAUGGUGCGAUCAUACUAGCCACUAAUGCACCGGAUCCCGUCA